AGCGAACGCUGGCGGCAGGCCUAACACAUGCAAGUCGAUCGGAUCCUUCGGGAUUAGUGGCGGACGGGUGAGUAACACGUGGGAACGUGCCCUUUGGUUCGGAACAACUCAGGGAAACUUGAGCUAAUACCGGAUGUGCCCUUCGGGGGAAAGAUUUAUCGCCAUUGGAGCGGCCCGCGUCUGAUUAGCUAGUUGGUGAGGUAAAGGCUCACCAAGGCGACGAUCAGUAGCUGGUCUGAGAGGAUGAUCAGCCACAUUGGGACUGAGACACGGCCCAAACUCCUACGGGAGGCAGCAGUGGGGAAUCUUGCGCAAUGAGCGAAAGCCUGACGCAGCCAUGCCGCGUGAAUGAUGAAGGUCUUAGGAUUGUAAAAUUCUUUCACCGGGGACGAUAAUGACGGUACCCGGAGAAGAAGCCCCGGCUAACUUCGUGCCAGCCGCCGCAGUAA
RNAcentral lists this ribosomal RNA (449 nucleotides) under uncultured bacterium. RNAcentral describes it as "partial 16S ribosomal RNA". It matches the Rfam family "Bacterial small subunit ribosomal RNA", at positions 29 to 523 of the family's 1533-position model. The record is from RNAcentral.